CGAGUGAACCGGGAAAAGCUCAAAUUUGUAAUCUGGCUGUCUUCGAUAGUCCGAGUUGUAAUCUAUAGACGUGUUUUCCGUGCUGGACCGUAUCUAAGUCCCUUGGAACAGGGUAUCAAAGAGGGUGACAAUCCCGUGCUUGAUACGACCACCAGUGCUCUGUGAUACACGCUCUACGAGUCGAGUUGUUUGGGAAUGCAGCUCAAAAUGGGUGGUAAAUUCCAUCUAAAGCUAAAUAUUGGCGAGAGACCGAUAGCGAACAAGUACCGUGAGGGAAAGAUGAAAAGCACUUUGGAAAGAGAGUUAAACAGUACGUGAAAUUGUUGAAAGGGAAACGAUUGAAGUCAGUCGUGUUCUUUGGAUUCAGCUAGUUCUUCUAGUCUACUUCCAUUGAACGGGUCAACAUCAGUUUUGUCCGGUGGAUAAAGAUAGUAGGAAUGUAGCUCCCCCGGGAGUGUUAUAGACUAUUAUUGCAUACACUGGGUGAGACUGAGGACUGCAGCUCGCCUUUUGGCCGGUCUUCGGACACGUUCGAGCUUAGGAUGUUGACAUAAUGGCUUUAAACGACCCGUCUUGA
RNAcentral lists this ribosomal RNA (577 nucleotides) under Cutaneotrichosporon dermatis. Its description in RNAcentral is "partial large subunit ribosomal RNA". It matches the Rfam family "Eukaryotic large subunit ribosomal RNA", at positions 90 to 657 of the family's 3401-position model. Lineage: Eukaryota; Fungi; Basidiomycota; Tremellomycetes; Trichosporonales; Trichosporonaceae. The record is from RNAcentral.